ACUCCUGCGGGAGGCAGCAGUGGGGAAUUUUGGACAAUGGGCGAAAGCCUGAUCCAGCAAUGCCGCGUGAGUGAAGAAGGCCUUCGGGUUGUAAAGCUCUUUUGUCAGGGAAGAAACGGUGAGAGCUAAUAUCUCUUGCUAAUGACGGUACCUGAAGAAUAAGCACCGGCUAACUACGUGCCAGCAGCCGCGGUAAUACGUAGGGUGCAAGCGUUAAUCGGAAUUACUGGGCGUAAAGCGUGCGCAGGCGGUUUUGUAAGUCUGAUGUGAAAUCCCCGGGCUCAACCUGGGAAUUGCAUUGGAGACUGCAAGGCUAGAAUCUGGCAGAGGGGGGUAGAAGUCCACGUGUAGCAGUGAAAUGCGUAGAUAUGUGGAGGAACACCGAUGGCGAAGGCAGCCCCCUGGGUCAAGAUUGACGCUCAUGCACGAAAGCGUGGGGAGCAAACAGGAUUAGAAACCCGUGUAGUCCCAUGA
Molecule: ribosomal RNA, 474 nt
Filed under: uncultured organism
Description: partial 16S ribosomal RNA
Rfam family: Bacterial small subunit ribosomal RNA
Source: RNAcentral